RNAcentral lists this ribosomal RNA (447 nucleotides) under uncultured bacterium. RNAcentral describes it as "bacterial SSU rRNA". It matches the Rfam family "Bacterial small subunit ribosomal RNA", at positions 355 to 825 of the family's 1533-position model. The record is from RNAcentral.
UCGAGAAUCUUCCACAAUGGGCGCAAGCCUGAUCCAGCCAUGCCGCGUGGAUGAUGAAGGCCUUAGGGUUGUAAAAUCCUUUCGUGGGGGACGAUAAUGACGGUACCCCAAGAAGAAGCUCCGGCUAACUUCGUGCCAGCAGCCGCGGUAAUACGAAGGGGGCUAGCGUUGUUCGGAUUUACUGGGCGUAAAGCGCGUGUAGGCGGGUCGUUAAGUUGGGGGUGAAAUCCCGAGGCUCAACCUCGGAACUGCCUUCAAAACUGGCGACCUGGACCCAAGUAGAGGCAAGUGGAAUUGCUAGUGUAGAGGUGAAAUUCGUAGAUAUUCGCAGGAACACCAGUGGCGAAGGCGACUUGCUGGACUUGUGGUGACGCUGAGACGCGAAAGCGUGGGGAGCAAACAGGAUUAGAUACCCCCGUAGUCCCUGAGCGGGCUGGCAAGGCGCAU